RNAcentral lists this ribosomal RNA (255 nucleotides) under uncultured bacterium. RNAcentral describes it as "partial 16S ribosomal RNA". It matches the Rfam family "Bacterial small subunit ribosomal RNA", at positions 524 to 776 of the family's 1533-position model. The record is from RNAcentral.
UACGCAGGGCGCAAGCGUUGUCCGGAAUUAUUGGGCGUAAAGAGCUCGUAGGCGGCCAGUUGCGUCCGCUGUGAAAUCCCGGGGCUUAACCCCGGGCGUGCAGUGGAUACGGGCUGGCUAGAGGCAGGCAGGGGAGAACGGAAUUCCCGGUGUGAGCGGUGAAAUGACGCAGAUAUCGGGAGGAACACCGGUGGCGAAGGCGGUUCUCUGGGCCUGUACUGACGCUGAGGAGCGAAAGCGUGGGGAGCAAACAGG